CAUCUAAGGCUAAAUAUUGGCGAGAGACCGAUAGCGAACAAGUACAGUGAUGGAAAGAUGAAAAGCACUUUGAAAAGAGAGUGAAACAGUACGUGAAAUUGUUGAAAGGGAAGGGCUUGCACCCAGACACGGUUUCGGCCGGGCCAGCAUCAAGUAGAACGGGGUUAAAAGACUUGGGGAAUGUAGCUACUUCGGUAGUGUUAUAGCCCUUGGUGAUGACCCCUGUUUUGCUUGAGGACAGCGGUCUCUAGGAUGCUGGCGCAAUGGUUGCAAGCCACCCGUCUU
This 285-nucleotide unclassified non-coding RNA is filed under the name Candidozyma auris. RNAcentral's name for it is "[Candida] auris sequence contains 28S rRNA gene". It matches the Rfam family "Eukaryotic large subunit ribosomal RNA", at positions 307 to 655 of the family's 3401-position model. The record is from RNAcentral. Lineage: Eukaryota; Fungi; Ascomycota; Pichiomycetes; Serinales; Metschnikowiaceae.